RNAcentral lists this ribosomal RNA (327 nucleotides) under Triticum aestivum (bread wheat). Its description in RNAcentral is "partial small subunit ribosomal RNA". Lineage: Eukaryota; Viridiplantae; Streptophyta; Magnoliopsida; Poales; Poaceae. The record is from RNAcentral.
AUGGAUAAUAAUCUUAUGGUUGUAUUUUGGAACGUCCGAAGACUUAAUUCUCGCGCCAAGAGAUCUGCAGUCCGCUCUGUAAUUGUGUCAGCCGCCCCUUGCAUCGUCUAUCCUCAAGAAACCAAGAUGGAGAACUUCUCCGCCUCCCUGGUCCUCGAAAUGGUAGGGGCUCAAUUCCUCGACUUCUACUACCUUCCUGCCGCGGGUACCCGGGGUGCUAUCCUGUUGGCGUGGUGCAGCUCCACCAUUAAGCUCUCUAGCCCCACCAUUGGCCAGCACCACGUCUCCGCGCUCGUCUUUCCCCUUGCGGGCGAUCGGCACUGGUGA